AUGAGCACGAGCACCAGCACCGGCACGAUUUUCAGUCAGUUGCUGCUGCUCCUCCUAGUCGUGCCUCCAUCCACCGCCACCGCCACCACCCAUGGCCGCGCUGCCUGCCUGCCGCGGGAGCGUGAUGCGCUGCUGGCUUUCAAGCGGGCCAUCACCAGCGACCCCGCGGGCCAGCUCGCCUCAUGGCGGCCUGGCGCGGGCGGCCACGAGGACUGCUGCCGCUGGAGGGACGUCCGGUGCAGCAACCGCACCGGCCAUGUCCUUCAGCUCCGUCUUCGCCACACGCACAGCGGCGACUGCGUCAGAAUCAGCUGCGCCAUGCCGGCCAUGGCCGGCCAGAUAAGUCCCUCCCUGCUCUCCUUGCAGCACCUAGCGCACCUUGAUCUCAGCGUGCAGCUGCUUCAGGGGCGCACCGGCCGCGUGCCCGAGUUCCUCGGCUCUCUCAGCAACCUGAGGUGUCUCGACCUCUCCUGCCUGCCGCCCCAGCUCGGCAACCUCUCCAAGUUGCGCCAUCUUGACCUCUCACAAAACGAGGAUGCCAACCUCUCAGAGCAACUCUAA
Molecule: ribosomal RNA, 561 nt
Filed under: Triticum aestivum (bread wheat)
Lineage: Eukaryota; Viridiplantae; Streptophyta; Magnoliopsida; Poales; Poaceae
Description: partial small subunit ribosomal RNA
Source: RNAcentral